AGUGAACGCUGGCGGUAGGCCUAACACAUGCAAGUCGAACGGUAGCACAGUAAGAGCUUGCUCUUACGGGUGGCGAGUGGCGGACGGGUGAGGAAUACAUCGGAAUCUACUUUUUCGUGGGGGAUAACGUAGGGAAACUUACGCUAAUACCGCAUACGACCUACGGGUGAAAGCAGGGGAUCUUCGGACCUUGCGCGAUUGAAUGAGCCGAUGUCGGAUUAGCUAGUUGGCGGGGUAAAGGCCCACCAAGGCGACGAUCCGUAGCUGGUCUGAGAGGAUGAUCAGCCACACUGGAACUGAGACACGGUCCAGACUCCUACGGGAGGCAGCAGUGGGGAAUAUUGGACAAAGGGCGCAAGCCUGAUCCAGCCAUACCGCGUGGGUGAAGAAGGCCUUCGGGUUGUAAAGCCCUUUUGUUGGGAAAGAAAAGCAGCAGGUUAAUACCCCGCUGUUCUGACGGUACCCAAAGAAUAAGCACCGGCUAACCUCGUG
This 492-nucleotide ribosomal RNA is filed under the name uncultured bacterium. Its description in RNAcentral is "partial 16S ribosomal RNA". It matches the Rfam family "Bacterial small subunit ribosomal RNA", at positions 29 to 507 of the family's 1533-position model. The record is from RNAcentral.